RNAcentral lists this small RNA (956 nucleotides) under Pongo abelii (Sumatran orangutan). RNAcentral describes it as "processed transcript". The record is from RNAcentral. Lineage: Eukaryota; Metazoa; Chordata; Mammalia; Primates; Hominidae.
CCAAUGACCUUUUGGCUUUGAGAAGAGCAGUCCUCAUACCAGAGUGUUUGGGGUUUUCGCCUUUUUCAGUGUUUAUUCAUUCUUACAUGGGAAAGUCGUAUUCUGAGGUUUCUGUGGUGCAUGAAGCUUUUGCCUUCACCAUCUGUUCCCGUGUCUUCCUCGGGUGACAUCAGAGUACAGCAGUAUUUUCCCUUGCCAUCUAAUGGGGUUUUGGGCUGUUUGACUCAACCGUGUGUGUUCCUCAAUGCCAGGAGAAUAAUCCUACCCUAAGUCAGCUGAACAGAAGCCAGGAUCUAACUGCAAACAAGAGACCCAGCUUUCUUAACAGCAUGGAAGAGACCAGUUUUGUUGCAGCUACCUGGGAAGAUGGUUGCUAAUUAGCCUGCAACAAAGAGUUCCUUGCUCAUCUAAAACAGGCAAUCACUGUUCGGGUGAAGCUUUGUUCUAAGAAUAUUUGUUUCAUCUAGUUUAUGAGCCCAAAUGAUAUAGACUCUAAAUGUUACAGCAGUGGUGAAAGACUGCUCGGUCAUGAGCACCGACAGUAACUCAUUGGCACGUGAAUUUCUGACCGACGUCAACCGGCUUUGCAAUGCAGUGGUCCAGAGGGUGGAGGCCAGGGAGGAAGAAGAGGAGGAGACGCACAUGGCAACCCUUGGACAGUACCUUGUCCAUGGCCGAGGAUUUCUGUUACUUACCAAGCUAAAUUCUAUAAUUGAUCAGAGAUGGGGUUUCACCGUGUUGGCCAGCUGGUCUUAAACUCCUGACCUCAAGCAGUCUACCCCCGUUGGCCUCCCAAAGGCUGGGAUUACAGGUGUGAGCCACUGCACCCAGCCAAGUUUAUGUAUUUUUAUUCUUUUUCAUGAGUGUGAUUUGUUAAAUGAGUGAUUAAAUAUAAUUUUAUUUUUAUAUAUUUGUAUGACUUUUCUGUAAAUAAAAUUUAAAAUCAGAAAAAAUCA